GGGUUGUGAGGUUAAGCGACUAAGCGUACACGGUGGAUGCCUAGGCAGUCAGAGGCGAUGAAGGGCGUGCUAAUCUGCGAAAAGCGUCGGCAAGGUGAUAUGAACCGUUACACCCGACGAUACCCGAAUGGGGAAACCCAGUGCAAUACGUUGCACUAUUUCAUGGUGAAUACAUAGCCAUGAAAGGCGAACCGGGGGAACUGAAACAUCUCAGUACCCCGAGGAAAAGAAAUCAACCGAGAUUCCCCCAGUAGCGGCGAGCGAACGGGGAGGAGCCCAGAACCAUCAUCAGUUUGUGUGUCAGUGGAAGCGUCUGGAAAGUCGCGCAACAAAGGGUGAUAGUCCCGUACACGAAGAUGCACAUGCUGUGAGUUCGAUGAGUAGGGCGGGACACGAGAUAUCCUGUCUGAAGAUGGGGGGACCAUCCUCCAAGGCUAAAUACUCCUGACUGACCGAUAGUGAACCAGUACCGUGAGGGAAAGGCGAAAAGAACCCCGGCGAGGGGAGUGAAACAGAACCUGAAACCGUGUACGUACAAGCAGUGGGAGCCUUGAUUUAUCAGGGUGACUGCGUACCUUUUGUAUAAUGGGUCAGCGACUUAUAUUCUGUAGCAAGGUUAACCGCAUAGGGGAGCCGUAGGGAAACCGAGUCUUAACUGGGCGUCAAGUUGCAGGGUAUAGACCCGAAACCCGGUGAUCUAGCCAUGGGCAGGUUGAAGGUUGGGUAACACUAACUGGAGGACCGAACCGACUAAUGUUGAAAAAUUAGCGGAUGACUUGUGGCUGGGGGUGAAAGGCCAAUCAAACCGGGAGAUAGCUGGUUCUCCCCGAAAGCUAUUUAGGUAGCGCCUCGUGAACUCAUCUGCGGGGGUAGAGCACUGUUUCGACUAGGGGGUCAUCCCGACUUACCAACUCGAUGCAAACUGCGAAUACCGUAGAAUGUAAUCACGGGAGACACACGGCGGGUGCUAACGUCCGUCGUGAAGAGGGAAACAACCCAGACCGCCAGCUAAGGUCCCAAAGUCAUGGUUAAGUGGGAAACGAUGUGGGAAGGCCCAGACAGCCAGGAUGUUGGCUUAGAAGCAGCCAUCAUUUAAAGAAAGCGUAAUAGCUCACUGGUCGAGUCGGCCUGCGCGGAAGAUGUAACGGGGCUAAACCAUGCACCGAAGCUGCGGCAGCGAACGUAUCACUUAAAACGCUUAACGUGACGGCGAAGCCGGCACGUUCAAGCCACAAAAACGUUGAGUCGGCCUGAGCGCUGACAGACGGCAAGGCGUUUUAAGGAUACGUUCGUUGGGUAGGGGAGCGUUCUGUAAGCCGUAGAAGGUGGCCUGUGAGGGCUGCUGGAGGUAUCAGAAGUGCGAAUGCUGACAUAAGUAACGAUAAUGCGGGUGAAAAACCCGCACGCCGGAAGACCAAGGGUUCCUGUCCAACGUUAAUCGGGGCAGGGUGAGUCGACCCCUAAGGCGAGGCCGAAAGGCGUAGUCGAUGGGAAACGGGUUAAUAUUCCCGUACUGGUUGUUACUGCGAAGGGGGGACGGAGAAAGCUAGGUUGGCCGGGCGACGGUAGUCCCGGUUUAAGCGUGAAGGUGGGUGUUUUUGGAAAAUCCGGAACACCGUUAACACUGAGGCGUGACGACGAGUCACUACGGUGACGAAGUAACCGAUGCUACGCUUCCAGGAAAAGCCUCUAAGCACCAGGUAACAGUCAAUCGUACCCCAAACCGACACAGGUGGUCAGGUAGAGAAUACUCAGGCGCUUGAGAGAACUCGGGUGAAGGAACUAGGCAAAAUGGUGCCGUAACUUCGGGAGAAGGCACGCUGGAUUUGGUGAAGUCCCUUGCGGAUGGAGCUGAGACCAGUCGCAGAUACCAGCUGGCUGCAACUGUUUAAUAAAAACACAGCACUGUGCAAACACGAAAGUGGACGUAUACGGUGUGACGCCUGCCCGGUGCCGGAAGGUUAAUUGAUGGGGUCAGCCUUAGGGCGAAGCUCUUGAUCGAAGCCCCGGUAAACGGCGGCCGUAACUAUAACGGUCCUAAGGUAGCGAAAUUCCUUGUCGGGUAAGUUCCGACCUGCACGAAUGGCGUAAUGAUGGCCAGGCUGUCUCCACCCGAGACUCAGUGAAAUUGAACUCGCUGUGAAGAUGCAGUGUACCCGCGGCAAGACGGAAAGACCCCGUGAACCUUUACUAUAGCUUGACACUGAACCUUGAGCCUUGAUGUGUAGGAUAGGUGGGAGGCUGUGAAGCGUGGACGCCAGUCUGCGUGGAGCCGACCUUGAAAUACCACCCUUUGAUGUUUGAUGUUCUAACGUGGGCCCGUAAUCCGGGUUGCGGACAGUGUCUGGUGGGUAGUUUGACUGGGGCGGUCUCCUCCCAAAGCGUAACGGAGGAGCACGAAGGUUAGCUAAUCCUGGUCGGACAUCAGGAGGUUAGUGCAAAGGCAUAAGCUAGCUUGACUGCGAGAGUGACGGCUCGAGCAGGUGCGAAAGCAGGUCUUAGUGAUCCGGUGGUUCUGAAUGGAAGGGCCAUCGCUCAACGGAUAAAAGGUACUCCGGGGAUAACAGGCUGAUACCGCCCAAGAGUUCAUAUCGACGGCGGUGUUUGGCACCUCGAUGUCGGCUCAUCACAUCCUGGGGCUGAAGUAGGUCCCAAGGGUAUGGCUGUUCGCCAUUUAAAGUGGUACGCGAGCUGGGUUUAGAACGUCGUGAGACAGUUCGGUCCCUAUCUGCCGUGGGCGUUGGAAGAUUGAGAGGGGUUGCUCCUAGUACGAGAGGACCGGAGUGAACGCACCACUGGUGUACGGGUUGUGAUGCCAAUUGCAUUGCCCGGUAGCUAAGUGCGGAAGAGAUAACCGCUGAAAGCAUCUAAGCGGGAAACUUGCCUCGAGAUGAGUCUUCCCUGGGACUUCGAGUCCCCUGAAGGGCCGUUGAAGACGACGACGUAGAUAGGCCGGGUGUGUAAGCGCAGCGAUGCGUUGAGCUGACCGGUACUAAUGACCCGAGAGGCUUAACCUUACAACACCGAAGGUGUUU
RNAcentral lists this ribosomal RNA (3035 nucleotides) under Brenneria nigrifluens DSM 30175 = ATCC 13028. RNAcentral's name for it is "23S ribosomal RNA". It matches the Rfam family "Bacterial large subunit ribosomal RNA". Lineage: Bacteria; Pseudomonadati; Pseudomonadota; Gammaproteobacteria; Enterobacterales; Pectobacteriaceae. The record is from RNAcentral.